This 241-nucleotide long non-coding RNA is filed under the name Linum usitatissimum (flax). Its description in RNAcentral is "long non-coding RNA (LUSI_LNC001762)". Lineage: Eukaryota; Viridiplantae; Streptophyta; Magnoliopsida; Malpighiales; Linaceae. The record is from RNAcentral.
UUAUGUACAUGCGCCUAUAUAUAAACGUAUAUCUCCGCAGAAGAAAUCCAUUGCAAUUCGCAAUACCUGGCUGCGCUCUCUCUUCCAAAGUUUUCAUUUUCCUCUAAUUCUGUAUCAAUGGUUCUGCAUCUUUUUCAAAUCUUCUUCAAUUCCGUAUCUGUAUUUCCGACUGUGGAAUAGUUAAGGAAGGGGGCUUUGUUGCAAUGAGGAGUUUAUUGAAGUCAUGCACCACUCUGAUUUA